This 253-nucleotide ribosomal RNA is filed under the name uncultured bacterium. RNAcentral describes it as "partial 16S ribosomal RNA". It matches the Rfam family "Bacterial small subunit ribosomal RNA", at positions 524 to 776 of the family's 1533-position model. The record is from RNAcentral.
GACGAGGGGUCCUAGCGUCGUUCGGAAUCACUGGGCGUAAAGCGUUUGUAGGCGGCUUUUUAAGUCGGGUGUGAAAUCCCAUGGCUCAACCAUGGAAGUGCAUUCGAAACUGGAAAGCUUGAAUAUGGAAGAGGAGAGUAGAAUUCCUGGUGUAGUGGUGAAAUACGUAGAUAUCAGGAGGAAUACCGGUGGCGAAGGCGGCUCUCUGGUCCAAUAUUGACGCUGAGAAACGAAAGUGCGGGGAUCAAACAGG